CAGAUUCAGGACUAAUCUCAUUAUGCCCUUUAUCCCUGUUUGCGUCAGGGGCUGCAGGAAACUCAGGUCACCCUACCCCAUGGCCCUGAAUACUCCUUUUCUGACCCCAUCUGUUGGAACCUUUCCUCUGAGCCCUCAGGAGACCCCAGGGCAGCCUCUCUCUGGAACAUUCUCUCUCUUCUUUCUUGGACUGAAACCUACCUCUCCCCAAGACCUGCUUUCCUAUCUAUGUGGGGCUGCCCCUCAUACCCUCACCGGUGUUGGACAGGUCCUUACAGAUCAUCUUCUGUGCCCAUUCUGAGGAGCCCCUGCACAGGCUCUGUGACCCCAUUCCCCCACCCUCCCCAGCACCACACCACCAGGUUGCUCUGGUGGGGCAUGAUGUGGUCUCAGUGUAGGAACCCGACCACCAGUCGUCAGGCCUCAUCUUUCUUCAGCCAUCAGCAUUUCCCUCGGUGGAUCCUCACCAUCUCCCCAUCCCUAAAACAUUUCCAGGAAACAAAGUACUUCUGCUUUUCUGCCCUUGUGCUGUCUCUUUCACAUCAUAUGGAGUGGCCCUCUCAACUCUUGUGUUUCUGUUACAUGCACCUCCAGGGGCUACCAGUGCAUCUUCUGUUCUCUCUCAUGCCUGUCCCGCCAGCCCAGAUGUCUCCACCUGGCUCUCACAUAGGCUGUGUGUGCAAGAGAGAAAUGAACCAAAUGGAAAAUGCUGAGCAGAAAAAGUGGGGUGGCCAGAGAGGAAAUCCCCACGAUGGAGCUGGGGGACCCUGAGGCUUGCAGUCUUCCAAGUGCCAGCUCUCAUCCAGACCCCAGGUCUCUAUGAAAGGAGUUGAUUGGUGUGAACACAUAGGAAUCAGGAGUUUACUCCGAUAUAGGACGAAGCUGAUCAUUCCUAGCAUCACUGCACUGAACAUGGGCAGCAGCUUCAGGUACCCACACAGGAGGCAGCUGCCUUUCAUGUGAGCCAUGCUCCUCCCUGCCAGGUAGCGCUGGACAGAAACC
Molecule: long non-coding RNA, 1002 nt
Filed under: Callithrix jacchus (white-tufted-ear marmoset)
Lineage: Eukaryota; Metazoa; Chordata; Mammalia; Primates; Cebidae
Description: lncRNA (ENSCJAG00000083696.1)
Source: RNAcentral